AACGCGAAGAACCUUACCUGGGUUUGACAUCCCCGGACAGCCCUAGAGAUAGGGUUUCCUCUUCGGAGGCCGGGAGACAGGUGCUGCAUGGCUGUCGUCAGCUCGUAUCGUGAGAUGUCGGGUUAAGUCCCUUAACGAGCGCAACCCUUGUCCCUAGUUGCCAUCAUUUAGUUGGGCACCCUAGGGAGACCGCCGGUGUUAAACCGGAGGAAGGUGGGGAUGACGUCAAGUCCUCAUGGCCUUUAUGUCCAGGGCUACACACGUGCUACAAUGGCCGGUACAAAGGGAUGCCAACCCGCGAGGGGGAGCUAACCUCAAAAAGCCGGUCUCAGUUCGGAUUGAAGUCUGCAAUUCGACUUCAUGAAGCUGGAAUCGCUAGUAAUCGCGGAUCAGAACGCUGCGGUGAAUACGUUCCCGGGCCUUGUACACACCGACGCAC
This 439-nucleotide ribosomal RNA is filed under the name uncultured bacterium. RNAcentral describes it as "bacterial SSU rRNA". It matches the Rfam family "Bacterial small subunit ribosomal RNA", at positions 958 to 1398 of the family's 1533-position model. The record is from RNAcentral.